RNAcentral lists this microRNA precursor (70 nucleotides) under Dasypus novemcinctus (nine-banded armadillo). RNAcentral's name for it is "miRNA (ENSDNOG00000026603.1)". Lineage: Eukaryota; Metazoa; Chordata; Mammalia; Cingulata; Dasypodidae. The record is from RNAcentral.
UAGGGUGACAACUGUCUUGGUUUGCCUGGGACUGAGGGGUUUCUGGAAAAGCAAGACUUUCAGUGCUAAA